RNAcentral lists this ribosomal RNA (448 nucleotides) under uncultured bacterium. Its description in RNAcentral is "bacterial SSU rRNA". It matches the Rfam family "Bacterial small subunit ribosomal RNA", at positions 329 to 793 of the family's 1533-position model. The record is from RNAcentral.
GGCCAGACUCCUACGGGAGGCAGCAGUGGGGAAUAUUGCACAAUGGGGGGAAACCCUGAUGCAGCGACGCCGCGUGAGUGAGGAAGUAUUUCGGUAUGUAAAGCUCUAUCAGCAGGGAAGAAGAUGACGGUACCUGACUAAGAAGCCCCGGCUAACUACGUGCCAGCAGCCGCGGUAAUACGUAGGGGGCAAGCGUUAUCCGGAUUUACUGGGUGUAAAGGGAGCGUAGACGGCGAUGCAAGCCAGAUGUGAAAGCCCGGGGCUCAACCCCGGGACUGCAUUUGGAACUGUGUGGCUGGAGUGUCGGAGAGGCAGGCGGAAUUCCUAGUGUAGCGGUGAAAUGCGUAGAUAUCAGGAGGAACACCGGUGGCGAAGGCGGCCUGCUGGACUGCGACUGACGUUGAGGCCCGAAAGCGUGGGGAGCAAACAGGAUUAGAUACCCCGGUAC